CUGCCUUUGGCAGCCUGCGCGUUACACUGACACACCAGCAGUUCUUCCUUGGUAGAAAUACCUGGGUAAUCUUGUUAAACUGUGUCGUGCUGGGGAUAGAGCAUUGCAAUUAUUAUUGCUCUUCAACGAGGAAUCCCUAGUAAGCGUAAGUCAUCAACUUGCGUUGAUUACGUCCCUGCCCUUUGUACACACCGCCCGUCGCUACUACCGAUUGAAUGGCUCAGUGAGGCGUUCGGACUGGCCAGAGGAGUCGGCAACGACACCUCAGGGCCGGAAAGUUCUCCAAACUCGGUCAUUAGAGAAGUAAAAGUCGUAACAAGGUCUCCUCCGUUGCUGCAUCG
RNAcentral lists this ribosomal RNA (341 nucleotides) under uncultured fungus. RNAcentral's name for it is "bacterial SSU rRNA". It matches the Rfam family "Eukaryotic small subunit ribosomal RNA", at positions 1477 to 1831 of the family's 1831-position model. Lineage: Eukaryota; Fungi. The record is from RNAcentral.